AGCUGAUAAUGGAUGCCUAGGGCAUGUUUGCCGAGGAAGGACGCAUAUGGUAGCGAUAUUCGUCGGGGAGGAGCCAUACUCCGUAUGAUCCGGCGGUUUCCGAAUGGAGAAAUCCCUUUAUCCUAAAGAUAAAGACUGUAUUAUAAAUACGGUUCGCACCAUGAUUAUAAAAUUUAUAACUGUUAUAAAAAUUAUAAUUAGGGUGCGGACUGGAAUAGUAAUACAGAGGGCACCACCUGAACUGAAACAUCUCAGUAGGGUGAGGAAAAUAAAUCAAUUGAGAUUCCGCAAGUAGCGGCGAGCGAAAACGGAAAAGUCUAAACUUGGUGAACUUAUGAUAAAAGAACGCCUUGGAAUAGGCGGCCAAAGAACGUGAAAGCCGUGUAUUUGAAAUUAUAGUUCCCCCUAAGGAGUUCCUAAGUACCAUGGGACACGAAGGUCCUGUGGGAAUCCGGGUCCACCACGAUCCAAGACUAAAUACAACCAUGCACCGAUAGUGAACGAGUACCGUGAGGGAAAGGUGAAAAGCACCCCGGAAGGGGAAUGAAAUAGUACCUGAAAUUAUCAGCUAACAAACAGCGAGAGCUUGUGAGUAAUCGCGUGCCUAUUGAAGAAUGAACCGGUGAGUUACCGUGCAAAGCAAGCCUAAUCACGUUUCAACGUGUGGAGGCGCAGUGAAAGCGAGGCCUAAUCGGCCGACAUAGUUUUGAACGGUAGACCCGAAACCAGGUGAGCUAACCAUGAGCAGGGUGAACCCCGAUGAAAAUCGGGGGAAGGCCCGAACUCGUCAAUGUUGCAAAAUUGUGAGAUGACUUGUGGUUAGGGGUAAUAUGCCUAUCGAACCUGGAGAUAGCUGGUUCUCCCCGAAAUAUAUUUUGGUAUAGCGGUGAGUCAUGCGGCGAAGGGGUAGAGCACUGAAUGAUUUGCGUUUCCUUACGGGAAUUCUUAUCAAUCAAACUCCGAAUACUUUCGUCGUUAUCUCACUAGUCAGACGUGCGGGGCUAAGCUCGUGCGUCAAAAGGGAAACAACCCAGACUCUCAUCUAAGGUCUCUAAACAAUACUCAGUGGUUAAGGAAGUCGUGAUUUUAAGACACCCAGGAAGUUGGCUCAGAAGCAGCCAUCUUUUAAAGAACGCGUAACAGCGCACUGGAUGAAAGUCGCGGCGCCGAAAAUGAACGAGGCUCAAGUAUUGUACCGAAGAUAGAGGGGGGUACCGUCCGGUACCCCCGGUAGGGGAGCGUUCUUAUUGCGGUGAAGGUCACCUCGUAAGGGGGGCUGGAGCGAUAAGAAGUGAGAAUGCCGGUAUGAGUAGCGUUUGGAAGUGAGAAUCUUCCAUGCCGAAUGCGCAAGGUUUCCGAAGCAACGUUCGUCGACUUCGGGUUAGUCGGAUCUAAGGCGAGGCCGUCAAUUGGCGGCGUAGCUCGAUGUAUAAACGGUUUAUAUUCCGUUACUAUAAUGUGUCGAUUAAGACUCAAAGGGGUGACAAUGGAGGAUUUGUCUGUGCCCCGCAACCGCGGGGUCUAAGCGUCAAGACAGUGAAGAUUGGGAAAUCCGUUUUCAUGUUUAAUCGAGGCGUAGGGAAGUCCAAGGGGAAACCUGCGGGCAAUACAGAUCGUUUUCUAUUCGAGAAAAGUCUCGUUGAGGAGCACAUGAUAUCCGUACCGCAAACCGACACUGGUGCGCUGGUAGAGAAUACUAAGGCAAGCGGGCGACAGCAGUUUAAGGAACUCGGCAACAAAAACUAGGCGUAACCUUUGGGAGAUGCCUUGCCCCGACGUAACGUCGGGGUCUCAGUAAACGACACUAUGCAACUGUUUAACUAAAACACAGGUCUCUGCGAAGCCGAAAGGCAACGUAUAGGGGCUGACACCUGCCCAGUGCCGGUAAGUUAAAAAUGGUUGGUGACCUUCGAAAGUUGGAAGCUAGCUUUUUAAGCUCCGGUGAACGGCAGCAGUAACUAUAACUGU
Molecule: ribosomal RNA, 1968 nt
Filed under: Candidatus Gottesmanbacteria bacterium GW2011_GWA1_44_24b
Lineage: Bacteria; Candidatus Gottesmaniibacteriota
Description: partial 23S ribosomal RNA
Rfam family: Bacterial large subunit ribosomal RNA
Source: RNAcentral